Molecule: non-coding RNA, 72 nt
Organism: Podarcis lilfordi (Lilford's wall lizard)
Lineage: Eukaryota; Metazoa; Chordata; Lepidosauria; Squamata; Lacertidae
Source: the annotation of a GenBank genome assembly
GGGGUUUUAGUUUAAUGGUAUAGCUCAUGUUUUACAUGCAGGAUGUACCAGGUUCAAUUCUCGGCAAUUCCA